This 593-nucleotide ribosomal RNA is filed under the name Inocybe whitei. Its description in RNAcentral is "eukaryotic LSU rRNA". It matches the Rfam family "Eukaryotic large subunit ribosomal RNA", at positions 1 to 591 of the family's 3401-position model. The record is from RNAcentral. Lineage: Eukaryota; Fungi; Basidiomycota; Agaricomycetes; Agaricales; Inocybaceae.
UUGACCUCAAAUCAGGUAGGACUACCCGCUGAACUUAAGCAUAUCAAUAAGCGGAGGAAAAGAAACUAACAAGGAUUCCCCUAGUAACUGCGAGUGAAGCGGGAAAAGCUCAAAUUUGAAAUCUGGCAGCUCUUUGAACUGUCCGAGUUGUAAUCUAGAGAAGUGUUACCUGUGUUGGACCGUGUACAAGUCUCCUGGAAUGGAGCGUCACAGAGGGUGAGAAUCCCGUCUUUGACACGGACUGCCUGCACGUUAUGGUGCGCUCUCAAAGAGUCGAGUUGUUUGGGAAUGCAGCUCAAAAUGGGUGGUAAAUGCCAUCUAAAGCUAAAUAUUGGCGAGAGACCGAUAGCGAACAAGUACCGUGAGGGAAAGAUGAAAAGAACUUUGGAAAGAGAGUUAAACAGUACGUGAAAUUGCUGAAAGGGAAACGCUUGAAGUCAGUCGCGUCGGCUAGAAAUCAACCUUGCUUUUGCUUGGUGUACUUUCUUGUUGACGGGUCAGCAUCAAUUUUGACCGUCGGAUAAAGUCAUUGGGAAUGUGGCAUCUUAGGAUGUGUUAUAGCCCAUUGUCGCAUACGACGGUUGGGAUUGAGG